AGACGUUGCUCUCGUUCUCCUUAC
RNAcentral lists this non-coding RNA (24 nucleotides) under Arabidopsis thaliana (thale cress). The record is from RNAcentral. Lineage: Eukaryota; Viridiplantae; Streptophyta; Magnoliopsida; Brassicales; Brassicaceae.